Molecule: ribosomal RNA, 468 nt
Filed under: uncultured bacterium
Lineage: Bacteria
Description: partial 16S ribosomal RNA
Rfam family: Bacterial small subunit ribosomal RNA
Source: RNAcentral
GACGAACGCUGGCGGCGUGCUUAACACAUGCAAGUCGAACGGAAAGGCCCUGCUUUUGUGGGGUGCUCGAGUGGCGAACGGGUGAGUAACACGUGAGUAACCUGCCCUUGACUUUGGGAUAACUUCAGGAAACUGGGGCUAAUACCGGAUAGGAGCUCCUGCUGCAUGGUGGGGGUUGGAAAGUUUCGGCGGUUGGGUAUGGACUCGCGGCUUAUCAGCUUGUUGGUGGGGUAGUGGCUUACCAAGGCUUUGACGGGUAGCCGGCCUGAGAGGGUGACCGGCCACAUUGGGACUGAGAAACGGACCAGAAUCGAAAGGGAGGAAGCAGGGGGGAAUAUUGAACAAUGGGCGGAAGCAUGAUGAAGAAACGCCGCGUGCGGGAUGACGGCCUUCGGGUUGUAAACAGAUUUCGCCUGUGAAGAAGAGUGAGUGACGGUAAUGGGUAAAGAAGCACCGGCUAACUACGUG